This is a long non-coding RNA of Cebus imitator (Panamanian white-faced capuchin), 217 nucleotides long. RefSeq lists it as uncharacterized. The transcript is spliced from 2 exons. Lineage: Eukaryota; Metazoa; Chordata; Mammalia; Primates; Cebidae. The record is from RefSeq and is a predicted model, not a curated record.
AGAGGCUGCUUCUAGGUGGCAAAAUAGAUGAUUACAAAGAGCCCGGGAUGGGAGGCAGAGAGCCUUCCAGGCAAGGGGAGAACGUGCAAAAAGAGAAGAAAAAGCACCUUUGGGGAGUCUCCUGCAUAGAGCCCUGGGUGGCUGAUGGAGAAGGUAUUCAAGAGUGGCUGCACCUGGAGCUGGGAGCUGAGCAUCAUGAAGAUUAAAACAUAAAGUA